AAUCAACGCUGGCGGCGUGCCUAACACAUGCAAGUCGAACGAGAAAGUGUGGCUGUAGCAAUACAGUCGCACCUGUAAAGUGGCGAACGGGUGAGUAACACGUAGCUAACCUACCCUCGAGCGGGGAAUAACCCGGGGAAACCUGAGCUAAUACCGCAUAACAUUCCGGUGACUUAAGCCAUCGGGAUCAAAGGCCCGCAAGGGUCACUUGAGGAGGGGGCUGCGCCCGAUUAGCUAGUUGGUGGGGUAAUGGCCUACCAAGGCGAUGAUCGGUAGCCGGCCUGAGAGGGCGCACGGCCACACUGGCACUGAGAUACGGGCCAGACUCCUACGGGAGGCAGCAGUGGGGAAUUUUGCACAAUGCCCGAAAGGGUGAUGCAGCAACGCCGCGUGAGGGAUGAAGGCCCUCGGGUCGUAAACCUCUUUCGAUCGGGAAAAGUGGGCGGGUGAAGAACCCGUUCUGAUGGUACCGGAUGAAGAAGCCCCGGCCAACUACGUGCCAGCAGCCGCAGUAAUACGUAGGGGGCAAGCGUUGUUCGGAAUUACUGGGCGUAAAGGGCGUGUAGGCGGUGCGGUAAGUUGGACGUGAAAUCCCCGAGCUUAACUCGGGGCGGUCGUUCAAAACUG
This 627-nucleotide ribosomal RNA is filed under the name uncultured bacterium. Its description in RNAcentral is "bacterial SSU rRNA". It matches the Rfam family "Bacterial small subunit ribosomal RNA", at positions 28 to 635 of the family's 1533-position model. The record is from RNAcentral.